This 3094-nucleotide long non-coding RNA is filed under the name Felis catus (domestic cat). RNAcentral describes it as "lncRNA (ENSFCAG00000050574.1)". Lineage: Eukaryota; Metazoa; Chordata; Mammalia; Carnivora; Felidae. The record is from RNAcentral.
AUGUCCCAGAGGCCCCAGUCUGGACCCCAGAGCGCCCAGCCAGGUUUCCUUCCAGGAGCUCCCAGUAAUACUCAAAAUGAGACUGAAGUCUCUCCACCAAUUACUUACAGGCCCCAGGUCAGAAUCCAAGACUCUCAGCCCAUUAUCAACAGUGGCCAGGUCAGCAUCCAAGAGCCCCCGCCCAUUAUCCAUAAUCGCCGGGUCAGCAUCCAAGAGCCCCCGCUCAUUAUCCAUAAUCGCCGGACCAGCAUCCAAGGGCCCCCACCCAUUAUCAACAGUCACCGGGUCAGCAUCCAAGAACCCUUGUCCAUUAUCCACAAUCGCCGGGUCAGCAUCCAAGACCCCCCAGUAGUCCACAGUCGCUGGGCCAGUAUCCAAGAUGUGCCACCCAUUAUCAACAGUUGCUGGGUCCGUACUGAGGACACGCCAUCCACUGUGAGCGGUCAUCGGCUCAGUAUCCAAGAUACACCGUCAGUUACCUACAGUCACCGUUUGAAGACCCAAGAUGUUCCACCAAUUCUCCAAACUCACCACUUCAGCAUCCAAAACUCUCUAUUACUUCCUCACGUCUCCCUGAACAAUGUAGAGUCCCUUAACUACAAUAGUAGUCAAGUCCGUAGCCAAGACCACUUUCCAACAAGUCAGAGUCCUUGUUUGAGUACUCAAUGCCUCACAUUGCCAAUCCGGGCCAAAGUCGAUGUCCCCCCUUCAAUUACUCACAGCCCCACCGCCAGUGUCAAAAGCACUGAUUCAAUCAUCUGGACCACCCAGGAGAGUUUCAAAGACUCUAUGGACAGCUCCCUAUACAACCCAAGUACUCUAGACAACAAUAUCCAGAGCAUACGAUCAAGCAGAUCUGCUGAGAUGGAUUCUGGCGGGUGUCAGAGAAGGAGUAAAUGCAGCUAUUCACAGCUGCCCAUGGGCUGGCGGCUGCUGCAUGGAGCCAAGAAGAUCAGCCGUCAGUGCCCUGACAUCUCCUGCCUUCAUGAGUACGACCAGAAUGCUUACUUGCUGGACUUUGCCUGGGCCUUUCUCAUCCUUGCCAGUAUUGCCGGCUUCUGCCUCUGCAUCAUGCUCAUAAACAUCGUCUUCUUCACCAGCUCCAACUUACCUGUGCUGGACUUCUCCAACGUCAUCAUCAGCAUCCUGACAGGGGCCAGCAUGAUACUGGGCAUCCUGUUCUACCUGAUGCAGGCCCAUGAGUACCUGCAGGAAGGCAUGACCUACACUCUGGGGCUCAGCUUCUACCUGGCGUGGACCGGCAUCUUUCUCUUCCUGAUGAGUGGUUUCCUUUCCUAUCUGAACUACAUGAACUUCUGGUCCAUCCUGGCGCUCCAGGCCAUCUGGACUUGAUGGCGCUCCAGGACACAGGAAUGACCCCACCGCUGGCCUGCUCCCACAGCUCCCUGCCAGGCACUUGACAACCCUACUCUCUAGUCCCCCACCCCCACUGAGAGUCUUGCCCUUUUCGGUCCCCUCUUAAUCCCCCCACUCAGAUUAAUAAUUUAAAUAAUCUGUACCUUUUGCCCAGAAUAUUCUCUUAGCUCAGUACCUUCUAAGUGUUCUGUGGAAAUGCCAACUCUCACGGGGGCCAUCCCUUGGGCCCUCUGGGGUAGAGGGACAGGUGAGGGAAGCGAUUCAGAGGAAAGAGACGCAAGGCACAAGGUCAACAAAGAGGCUGUGCCAAUGGUUCCUGGCAUACCUACAAAUGGUGUCAAUAUUUGUUGAAUAGCUGAUUCUCUCCAAGCCCUUAGGGCUUCAUCUUUUACUUCCCAGACCCCCAAUAAUGUGCCCCUCCUGAGGUAAAUUCUCCCUGCACCCACACCUCACCUCCUGCCCUUACCAGCAGCCCCUGUCAUCACUUCCUCUUUCUUCUUGCCAAACUCCUCCAACACAGGGCUGUUUCUAAAAAUUGUCUAUCUGUCUAUCUAUCUAUCUAUCUAUCUAUCCAUCCAUCCAUUUUUAAGGCUGUUCCAUGUAGCAUAUUUUUGCUAUCAGAGUCAUUUGUUGAACAAGGCACGGUUGAAACUCAAGUACAAAUUUACCUCACUACCUGGGUCCCCCUACAGGCCCUUGACCUGGGGGGGGGUCCCCUCUACCUCCCUUUCACACAGUGGUUAAGCUGGAAGGGUUGAGUCUAGGCUCUGCCACCUACUAGCUCCGUGACCUGUGUCCAGGCAUUGACCCAUCCGGGUCUCAGUUUCCUCAUCUGUAAAAUGGGGGUAAUGAUAGUACUUCAAUCUAGAUAGAGUUUAACAUAACACCUAGUUUGUGCUCUUUAAGGGUUGCUAAAAUAAUCCGCUUCUCUCCCACAAAAGGCUCUCAAAUUUGUUCAUCUUUAAUGAAAAUAAGCUGCAACUAUAUGCCAGAGACUGGAUCUAUCGCAGUGAUCAAACUAGACACACAUCCUUGUUUUUAUGGCUUCACAUUUCCGCAGGGAGGCGAAACAGAUAUGUCAGGGGUAAGUGCCAUGAGGAAAAACAAAGGAGGGGGAUAGAGAUGGGUCUGGGAAGGGGCAGGGGCUCUAUGCCAAGGUAAUAUCUGAGCAGAGAUAUGAUUGAAGAGAGGAGAGCUAUGGGGACAGGUUGGGGGAAAGGCUUCCCGGCAGAGGGAACAGCAAAAGUUCUGAGCUACAAACGUCCUUGGCAGGUUCCAGGAAGAUUAGGGAAGCCAAUUACUAGUGUACCCGGAGCAAGGGAGAGGGAGACAGGGACAGAGGGGGAACAGGGGCUAGGUCCCUCCGGGCCUUGUGGGCCACAGUGAAGACUUUGCUUUUUACUCUGGGUGAGGCAAAAGCCAGUGAAGAAAGGUCUCCUUUUCUUAAUACAAGGAUAUGUUCCUUUUACAUCAGACUAUAAGCUUCGUGGGAGGUGUCUCCUCACCGGAAGAAGACGACCCAAAUGACCAGCUAAACAAUGUGUGUUCCACUCACAGAAGGGAAUAUUUGGCCCCCGUUUAAGGAAUGAGGUCACUCUGUACUGAUCCGGGGGAGACUAUUUAGGGGACAAACUGGAAUGAAAAAAAAAAAAUCGCUACCCAUAACAUGUGUGCGUAUACAGCCAUAAAAUAAAAAGUCCACACCACACUGUUGACA